UUUUUUUAUUCAUAUUUUUAAAGUUUCACCUCAUUCAUAUACUAACUUGAGCGUCGGACUGCUAACCUUUUUUGCAGGUACCCCUCUGACCCCAAAACGAAAGUCUUACCGCGGUAGUUGUCUUCGUCUUCAGCCUUACAUCGUUUCAGUAUGGAAUAGUUAUAAUUGAAUGUUCUAAAUCUUCUUCAUAAUAGUCUUUUGCAUGCAUGCUGAAGUUCUGAUGUUUUUUUUUGUUUUGUCAAUGGAGUGCUAGAUAAUGUUUCUUAGAUUGCUGAUUGUGUUUACUUGAUAGAUUUGAGUUGCGACAGGUUGAUAGUGUUUUCUUAAUGGAUUUGCAUUGCGUUCAGGUUGCCGAUCGCGUUUUCUUAAUGGAUUUGCGAUGCAUGCUUCAGAUUGUUGAAGCACACACAUGAAACUGACUUGACACAAGUUUUCAUUUGAUAAGUAAGAGAUAUGUUUAACCAUUAUGCAGCAAAGCCAGGAUUAGCUUCAUAUCUAAAACCUUAAGAACAGAGAACAGCUCCAGAUAGAUAAAUCAAACUUCUUCAAAUUGAAUUUCGAACAUGUUUUGCUGCAGCAGCUUGGUUUGUCAAAACAAUAACCUUCUUCAAAGCAUGCAUCAGCCUGGCUUUUUGAUUUGGUGAUAUCUAUAAAAUAAUUUUUGUUUUCAAUUCUGAGAGCGUAUUUUUCUUGAAGUUGUCUUUUGAUCUUGUAUAAGUUGUUGAAGUUUGUGUUUCUUCCGUGUUGAGGUUUUUGUGUUUCUAUUAUCAGGGACUUAGAUCUUUGGCUAAGUGCAAAUUAUGGAAUUAGAUACCAUCUUUGAAUCUUUGAUAUAGCCCAAGCACGUCUCAGUGUCGUGUGUCAGAUACUGACGCUUCCUACUAUGGCUGCACUUUAAUUUGGUCAUCACUACCAAGACUUUUACGCUUUAGUCUUUGUUUGAUUUGAUACACAACAUCUACUUUUGUCGGAUUCUUUGAGUUGUGUGAGUUUUGCAGGGAGAUGCAUUUAUCCCGUUUCGCAGAAAGCAUGGUGGAUAUCCAGAAUGCCUUGAUACAACAACCAGAACAGGAAAUAACUCUAGAUAGCUAAAUCAAUUUUUUAUGGGUCAUUCUUUACUAUUUUUAUUUCCGACCUUUGAUUGCAAGGCAUACAAAUUAAUUUCUGAAGUGUUUUGCUUCAGCGUGGUUGUUUCCAACUAAUAACCUUCUUCAGGGCAUGGAGCUUAGCAUUUCAAUUUUUGAUUUGGUGAUCUCCAUUAAAUUCUUUUUAUAUUGAUUCUAUUUUUUGGUUCUGAAACCAUAUCUUCUUUGAUUUGGUGUUUACUCUCUGGUGUUGCAGGAUAUUUAAUAUGUUAACAGACGAUUUCUUCUUGUUCUAUUUUCCUCUUGUUUGAUCUUCAUGGCUGUUGAUUUUUGCUUUCUUGAUUCUUAGGUUUGAUUUGGUUUUUGUUAGUUUUGACCUUGGAAGUUACUGUCUACUAUUAUUUUGUUAGGGUUUUAAAUGAUUGUUCUUUUGUGUAUACAUAUGGGUGACCUUGGAAGUCACUUUUUUCUACAUUCUCCCAAGUGGAUAUUUAUCGAAGUGGGGAUGCCGAAAUUUUUACCGUUUCAUAUGGACUGUGUAUAUUUGUUCCACAAUAGUCCUCCUUUAUUGCAUGCUUAACAUUGCUGAACAGAAUUGUGGAGCAUAUCUCUUCUCGCUACCUUCUCCGUUUUUAAGCAAAUUGUGGCCGUGUUUGAUUUGAUGAUCUACAUCUAAAGAGAGUUAUUCUUGCACUCUUUUACUGUUUGUUUCUUUUAUUUCUGAUAUAUUGGAAUAGGAAUUCGUUUCCUCUCUAAGGAUUUCAUCGGGCACCAGAAUUCAUUAUUAGAACCAUCAUGUUCUGCAGACUGUAAGAUAAUCUCUAAGGAAUUCGAGUCAUACAUUUCUGUAGGAAACUUGUUUCAUUUUGUAGAGUGAACAGCGUGGUUUGGGAAAGUAUCUCCAUCCGGUGUUUGGUAAGGUAAAUUAUGCUCAUAUUGAGAUCCAAAGUAUGCAAUUUGAUGGCAAUUGUUCCAAACAUAAAUAUUUUGUUGGUUGUGUCCUAUGUUCUCACUAUUUCUAGAUUAUAAUCAGAAGAUCUAUAUAGUAAUGUGGUGUUUGUUAGUGGAUAUAGUACACAUCUUUAAGCGCAAGAUAUAUUAUCAGAUGAUUGACAAAGCAGUUUUGGUAUAUAAUUAUCAGAUGAUAGCACCAUUAUCACGAUUAUUUUACAUUAAUAGCCCAUCAUACAACAAUAUAUAUAAUAUACAUCUUUACUUUUGGAGUAUGCCAUUCCUUUUUUUAUGAUGCUUAGUGGAUUAGUCAAAAGUUCAUUAAGACUUGCAGCAACAACAAUAUAUAUAAUAUACAUCUUUACUUUUGGAGUAUGCCAUUCCUUUUUUUAUGAUGCUUAGUGGAUUAGUCAAAAGUUCAUUAAGACUUGCAGCAAUCUUUAUGUGUAAUCUAAUCUAGACGUUCACUCUGCUCAAUAUUUGUAAACGGACAAGAACACCGGCUAUUUGUAAACGGACAAGAACACCGGCCCUCUUUCAUCUCAACUGUUGAUCUACAACUACUUGGUAGUCUACACUUCAUGCUAGACAAACCAAAGAUGAGUAGUAUCUCUACUAUAUACGUGUGAUUCUGCGUCACAAUCAGGUAUUUUUUUAUUCAUAUUUGUAAAGUUUCACCUCAUUCAUAUACUAACUUGAGCGUCGGAGUGCUAACCUUUUUUUGCAGGUACCCCUCUUACCUCAAAACGAAUGUCUUACCGCGGUAGUUGUCUUUGUCUUCAGCCUUACAUUGUUUCAGUAUGGAAUAGUUAUAAUUGAAUGUUCUAAAUCUUCUUCAUACAAGUCUUUUGCAUGCAUGCUGAAGUUCUGAUUUUUUUUUCAAUUGAGUGCUAGAUAAUGUUUCUUUCCAUAACAUAUAAGCUCCCAAAUUUCGUACAGUCGCAAUACAUAUAAGCUCUUGGUUAAUAACAAGAGCGGUGAAGAAUCUACUGGCAAUGGGGAGAUGGAACAAGGAGGAGAAAUCAUCCAAAGUGAUUAGCUUCAUAUCUAAAACCUUAAGAACAGAGAACAGCUCCAGAUAGAUAAAUUUAACUUCUUCAACGAGUCUUUUUCUUUUCUUUUUCUCGCCUUUAUUGCCAGACAUGCAAAUUGAAUUUCGAACAUGUUUUGCUGCAGCAGCAGCUUGCUUUGUCAAAACAAUACCCUUCUUCGAAGCAUGCAACAGCCUAGCUUUUUGAUUUGGUGAUAUCUAUAAAAUUAUUUUUGUUUUCAAUUCUGAGAGCGUAUUUUUUUUGAAGUUUUCUUUUGAUCUUGUAUAAGUUGUUGAAGUUUGUGUUUCUUCCGUGUUGAGGUUUUUGUGUUUCUGUUACAGGGACUUAGAUCUUUGGCUAAGUGCAAAUUAUGGAAUUAGAUACCAUCUUUGAAUCUUUGAUAUAGCCCAAGCACGUCUCAGUGUCGUGUGUCAGAUACUGACGCUUCCUACUAUGGCUGCACUUUAAUUUGGUCAUCACUACCAAGACUUUUACGCUUUAGUCUUUUGUUUGAUUUGAUACACAACAUCUACUUUUGUCGGAUUCUUUGAGCUGUGUGAGUUUUGCAGGGAGAUGCAUUUAUCCCGUUUCGCAGAAAGCUGAGAAAUAUGGUGGAUAUCCAGAAUGCCUUGAUACAACAACCAGAACGGAAAAUAACUCCAGAUAGUUAAAUCAAUUUUUUAUGGGUCAUUCUUUACCAUUUUUAUUUCCGGCCUUUGAUUGCAAGGCAUACAAAUUGAUUUUUGAACGUGUUUUUCUGCAGCGUUGUUGUGUCCAACUAAUAACCUUCAUCAGAGCAUGGAGCUUAGCAUUUCAAUUUUUGAUUUGGUGAUCUCCAUUAAAUUCUUUUUAUAUUGAUUAUAUUUUUUGGUUCUGAAACCAUAUCUUCUUUGAUUUGGUGUUUACUCUCUGGUGUUGCAGGAUAGUUAAUAUGUUAACAGACGAUUUCUUCUAGUUCUAUUUUCCUCUUGUUUGAUCUUCAUGGCUGUUGAUUUUUUGCUUUCUUGAUUCUCUUAGGUUUGAUUUGGUUUUUGUUAGUUUUGACCUUGGAAGUUACUGUCUACUAUUAUUUUGUUAGGGUUUUAAAUGAUUGUUCUUUUGUGUCAACUAUUAUUCCUCGGUUGAUUUCUGUACAUAUGGGUGUUUUGCGUUUAAUUUGUUGGCAGCACUUAUUGGCAAAAUCUGGAGUUUUGGUUUGAAUUUUAUGUCUUAAGGUUGCAGAUUGAUAUCAAAUAAUGGUAAUGUUUUGCAUUUAUCACCUUACUUGAAUUGCAAAUUGAAACUUGUACUGUUUUCUGUUAUGUAAUGUGUACUGUAGUAUCAAGCAAUGUGUGUGUAAUCAAGCAAUCAGUUUCUUUUUAAAUAUACUCUUCUUGGAUUGUGAAUUGUUUUCAUUUCAUUGCUUCUAUAUAGAGUUUUAUUGUCCUGUUUUCUCGAUUUACACCUUUAUGAUCCUGUUUUCUCGAUUUACUCCUUUGCAGAUUGAUAUGAAAUAAUGGUGAUAUUUUGCAUUUAUCACCUUACAUGAAUUGCGAAUUGAAAUAUGUACUGUUUUCUGUUAUGUAGUGUGUUUUGCAUCAAUAGUGUUUUGUGUAGUAUCAAGCUAUGCGUAAUCAAGAAAUCAGUUUUUUU
Molecule: long non-coding RNA, 4699 nt
Filed under: Lathyrus oleraceus (garden pea)
Lineage: Eukaryota; Viridiplantae; Streptophyta; Magnoliopsida; Fabales; Fabaceae
Description: Pisum sativum (pea) long non-coding RNA (PSAT_LNC021817)
Source: RNAcentral